GCAGGCUUAUAAAAGUAUUGAAACUCUGGAUUGUUCACAAGAAUUUGGAGAACAACUGAUCCGGACCUGUGCCAUCUGCCUCUGUCACUGUCACCGCUGGGCACUGGGAGUCAGUGUGCAUGAGGCAGCCCUCUUCUGCGGCAAGAAAUCAACACACGUUGUGGCUGCUGCAGCUUUUCAGCCGAUGCAGUUGCGUUCUCUCAACAAAGAAACUUGCCACUCUGGAUUCACCCAAAACUCAUUAAAAAGGUUUGUUUACAAU
Molecule: long non-coding RNA, 262 nt
Organism: Sinocyclocheilus anshuiensis
Lineage: Eukaryota; Metazoa; Chordata; Actinopteri; Cypriniformes; Cyprinidae
Exons: 3
Source: RefSeq, a predicted model, not a curated record